AGCAGCCGAGGUCCCCGAAAGGCGCCUAAGCUUCCUUCUAGAAUUCAUUCCUUGCCUGAGUGCUUUCUUCCCUUCAUCUCAUACAUUUGAAAUUUUCUUUGUGGAAAAAACAUGAGCUGUGCGGUGAUAUGAAGAUGUUUCCCUCAGGUCCCUUUGUGACUUUUCUGUGCAAAUGAGGAAGGAUGGGCUGGAUUGACCUGGAACCUUCCAACAGAGCCUCUCUCUUCAUAAUGAAAAAGAUUGCUCAGAUCCUAUUCCCAAGCUGACCCCUUACAAUGUUUG
Molecule: long non-coding RNA, 282 nt
Organism: Budorcas taxicolor (takin)
Lineage: Eukaryota; Metazoa; Chordata; Mammalia; Artiodactyla; Bovidae
Exons: 3
Source: RefSeq, a predicted model, not a curated record